This 497-nucleotide ribosomal RNA is filed under the name uncultured bacterium. RNAcentral's name for it is "partial 16S ribosomal RNA". It matches the Rfam family "Bacterial small subunit ribosomal RNA", at positions 28 to 507 of the family's 1533-position model. The record is from RNAcentral.
GAUGAACGCUGGCGGCGUGCCUAAUACAUGCAAGUCGAGCGAACGGACGAGCAGCUUGCUUCUCUGAUGUUAGCGGCGGACGGGUGAGUAACACGUGGAUAACCUACCUAUAAGACUGGGAUAACUUCGGGAAACCGGAUCUAAUACCGGAUAAUAUUUUGAACCGCAUUGUUCAAAAGUGAAAGACGGUCUUGCUGUCACUUAUAGAUGGAUCCGCGCUGCAUUAGCUAGUUGGUAAGGUAACGGCUUACCAAGGCAACGAUGCAUAGCCGACCUGAGAGGGUGAUCGGCCACAGUGGAACUGAGACACGGUCCCGACUCCUACGGGAGGCAGCAGUAGGGAAUCUUACGCAAUGGGCGAAAGCCUGACGGAGCAACGCCGAGGGAGUGAUGAAGGUCUUCGGAUCGUAAAACUCUGUUAUUAGGGAAGAACAUAUGUGUAAGUAACUGUGCACAUCUUGACGGUACCUAAUCAGAAAGCCACGGCUAACUACGUG